GACGAACGCUGCCGGCGUGCUUAACACAUGCAAGUCGACCGGUGAAGCGCCUUCCUUUUGGUGGGUGUGGAUGAGUGGCGAACGGGUGAGUAACACGUGAGUAACCUGCCCCCUUCUUCUGGAUAACCGCAUGAAAGUGUGGCUAAUACGGGAUAUUCUGUGCCUGCUGCAUGGUGGGUGUGGGAAAGAUUGCGCCCUUUUUGGGUGUUUUUGGUGGGGGAUGGGCUCGCGGCCUAUCAGCUUGUUGGUGGGGUGAUGGCCUACCAAGGCGGUGACGGGUAGCCGGCCUGAGAGGGUGGACGGUCACACUGGGACUGAGACACGGCCCAGACUCCUACGGGAGGCAGCAGUGGGGAAUAUUGCACAAUGGGCGCAAGCCUGAUGCAGCGACGCCGCGUGAGGGAUGGAGGCCUUCGGGUUGUGAACCUCUUUCGCCAGUGAAGCAGGCCUGCUCCUUGGUGGGUGGUUGACGGUAGCUGGAUAAGAAGCGCGCUACU
Molecule: ribosomal RNA, 497 nt
Filed under: Actinomyces sp. oral taxon 170
Lineage: Bacteria; Bacillati; Actinomycetota; Actinomycetes; Actinomycetales; Actinomycetaceae
Description: bacterial SSU rRNA
Rfam family: Bacterial small subunit ribosomal RNA
Source: RNAcentral